AGACACCUCUCUGCUGGCGUGUUCCUGGGUCCAUGAUGGAAGAAGGAAAAGUAUUUUUAAAAGACAAUCUGAAGCUCAUACUGUGACUGCAACAUAAAAUGUGUUCACCUGAGGAGACUGCUUUCAUCGCCAGUGUGUCACAGAAGGUCUCUGAUGGUUCUGGUUUCCUGGGCACCUAGAAUAAGUGUGUCACCAUUUGUCCUGAAGCUGACUUCUCUGAGCUGGAUGGCACCCUGGACAUCAACCAGCCCUUCACCUUCACGUCACACAGGAGGGACACUGGUCCAUAGAGAGGAUGCCUGCUCUGGUCACCAGCUGGAGAGUGGCAGACCUUGGGUACCUGACCUUUGGACUCUGCCACACAGAGCACUUCCUCAGUCCCUCCUGCUGCCCCUGGCAGGGUGGAGCUGGCAGGGCAGCUGAUCCAGGACCGUCCACUUCCAAGCCAGCAGGAGGAUGGAAAAGC
This 466-nucleotide long non-coding RNA is filed under the name Homo sapiens (human). RNAcentral describes it as "non-protein coding SPATA3-AS1:15". Lineage: Eukaryota; Metazoa; Chordata; Mammalia; Primates; Hominidae. The record is from RNAcentral.